GCCCGGUUAGCUCAGUUGGUUAGAGCGCCUGGUUGUGGUCCAGGAGGUCCCCUGUUCGAACCAGGGAUCGGGUACCA
This 77-nucleotide transfer RNA is filed under the name Candidatus Hydrogenedentota bacterium. RNAcentral's name for it is "tRNA-His". It matches the Rfam family "tRNA". Rfam says of the family: Transfer RNA (tRNA) molecules are approximately 80 nucleotides in length. Their secondary structure includes four short double-helical elements and three loops (D, anti-codon, and T loops). Further hydrogen bonds mediate the characteristic L-shaped molecular structure. tRNAs have two regions of fundamental functional importance: the anti-codon, which is responsible for specific mRNA codon recognition, and the 3' end, to which the tRNAs corresponding amino acid is attached (by aminoacyl-tRNA synthetases). tRNAs cope with the degeneracy of the genetic code in two manners: having more than one tRNA (with a specific anti-codon) for a particular amino acid; and 'wobble' base-pairing, i.e. permitting non-standard base-pairing at the 3rd anti-codon position. RNAcentral also lists the same sequence under 1 other name. The record is from RNAcentral. Lineage: Bacteria; Pseudomonadati; Candidatus Hydrogenedentota.